Molecule: small nuclear RNA, 192 nt
Organism: Talpa occidentalis (Iberian mole)
Lineage: Eukaryota; Metazoa; Chordata; Mammalia; Eulipotyphla; Talpidae
Product: U2 spliceosomal RNA
Exons: 1
Source: RefSeq, a predicted model, not a curated record
AUGGAUUCUUGGUCUUUUGGCUAAGAUCAAGUGCUAAGAUCAAGUUCUUAUCAGUUUACAUCUGAUCCACCCUCUAUCUGAGGACAAUAUAGUAAAUGGAUUUUUGGAACAGGGAGAUGGAAUAGGACCUUGCUCUGCUCACUCUCUGCAUCGACCUGGUAUUUCAGUAUCUCCAGGAACUGUGCACCCCCC